This is a long non-coding RNA of Antechinus flavipes (yellow-footed antechinus), 2915 nucleotides long. RefSeq lists it as uncharacterized. The transcript is spliced from 3 exons. The record is from RefSeq and is a predicted model, not a curated record. Lineage: Eukaryota; Metazoa; Chordata; Mammalia; Dasyuromorphia; Dasyuridae.
CAUUUAUUUCUAGUUCAUGAAAAACACGAAAAUAACAACAACAAUAAUAAUAAUGCAAACAUUUCUUAUGUAUUUACUAUAUUCCAAGCACUAUGCUAGAGAAACUGAAAAUUAGAUAAGGUAUUACUACUAUUCUCAAAAAACUUGCCGUCUAUUGCAGGUGGGGUAUAAGACAUGAAUUGGGGUAGCUAUCAUAAUAUUAUGUGAGAGUUAUAAAUGGGGAAAGUUCAUUACCAGCCAAGGAGAUAGUUAGGUUUCCAGAAAGAGUUAAGUUGGGUUUAAGGAAUGGCUAUUAAUUCAGUAGGUAAAGAGUGGGAAGACCUCAUACCUCUCAACUCAGCUAAGAUGACAGGAAAAGAUAAUGUUAUAGUAUAUGAAGUACAUGAACAAGUUAUAAUAUAUGAAGAUAAUGAAAUAUUAUUGUUCUACAAAAAAUUAUGAACAAGCUGAUUUUAGAAAGGCCUGGAAAGAUUUAUAUGAACUAAUGCAGAGUGAAACAAACAGGACCAGAAAUACAUUGUUCACAAUAACAGCAAGAAUGUGCUGUGAUCAACUAUGAAGACUGGUUUUUCGCAAUGGUUCAUUGAUCCAAAGCACUUCCAAUAGACUUUGGACAGAAAAUGCCAUCUGCAUCCAGAAAAAGAACUAUGGAGACUGAAUGUAAAUCAACACAUGCUAUGUUCACUUCUUUUUUUCUGCUUUUUUUUUUUUUCUUUCCUAUGGUUUUUCCCUUUUGGUCUGAUUUUUUUCUCUCAAUAUGAUUCAUAAAGCAAUGUGAAUUAAAAAUAAAUACAUAGUACUUAAAAAAAGUGUGAAGGAGCAUUCUAGUCAUAUGAAGAAUGACUUGACUGGCACAAGAGGGAGAACAGAGAUUGCUUCUGUUUGGUUAGGUCAGGGAGUGGGAAUUUAGCAGUUACAGCGUUUUUAUACUUGGUAGGGGGUAAUCCGUUCCUGCUCCCUAGGAUAGGAGGUAUGGCAAUUAUAGCAUAGCUUGAUCUCAUAAAGAUUAUAUAGAGAUGAGGAAAUAGGCUCAAAGUCUUGCUCUGAAGAGGCACCUUGUAAUGGAAGGAUCCCCAGGUUCUUCUUCUUUUUUUUUAAUCAAGAUUUGAUUUUUAAAUUUUAUUUAAUAAUAACUUUAUAUUGACAGAAUCCAUGCCAGGGUAAUUUUUUUACAACAUUAUCCCUUGCACUCGUUUCUGUUCCGAUUUUUCCCCUCCCUCCCUCCACCCCCUCCCCUAGAUGGCAAGCAGUCUUAUAUAUGUUAGAUAUGUUGCAGUAUAUCCUAGAUACAAUAUAUGUUUGCAGAACUGAACAGUUCUCUUGUUGCACAGGGAGAAUUGGAUUCAGAAGGUAAAAAUAACCCGGGAAGAAAAACAAAGAUGCAGAUAGUUCACAUUCGUUUCCCAGUGUUCUUUCUUUGGGUGUAGCUGCUUCUGUCCAUCAUUUAUCAAUUGAAACUCAGUUAGGUCUCUUUGUCAAAGAAAUCCACUUCCAUCAGAAUACAUCCUCAUACAAUAUCGUUGUCGAAGUGUAUAAUGAUCUCCUGGUUCUGCUCAUCUCACUUAGCAUCAGUUCAUGUAAGUCUCGCCAAGCCUCUCUGUAUUUAUCCUGCUGGUCCCUGGGUUCUUGAGGGAUGGCACAAACUCUGGCAAGAUGUCCUGAGCUUGACAAUGUGCCCAGUUUCAGAAGAUGAGCCCAUAAGUUACACAAUGCCACAGUUGGCCACACAAUGCCAUAAGCUGGCCCUCGGCCCAUGGUUGCAACUAGCUCCCUAGCACUGAAGUCGGGACUCCAAAAACAAGUCCUUUUCCUGCCCUCCUUCACCUUCUCCCCCAAACCCACUUAGUGACAUUACAGGACAUAAGAGGUAGGCAACAGAGACAAUGAGGUGCUGAGUAAAGAGACCUAUUUGCAAGAGAGAGGUUCUGACAACUGGCUCAAGGUCACAAGGAAGAUAAAGUACCCAUCAGUUACUGGAGAUUGGAACUGAAGAGAUCCAGGAACUGAGUUAGAACACCAGGGGCAAGAAUCUCUUUGCUAAAGCACCAUCCAGUGCUCUACCCACUGGGCCACUUAGCAUCCAUCAAGAUGAGCCUGCUGUGAUAAAACUGAGUAGGAAAACCAUAGGUCCUAAGUCCAUGCUAAAACCCAGGUCCAGGGUUCCUGAAUCUUUAUUUAAUGAUUAGCCUGACUUCAUGGCAUGAAUUACACAGUAGUUAAGGCUUUAUUUUCUACACUCCUUUGCUGCGUUGAAGGAGGGUUGGAAAUGGGGAACUAUACAAAACGUGUUGUACUUUUUUUCUUGAACUCCUAGGUUUGGAUUUAAGAAAACCUCAGGACCUUCCACUGAUCCGGGAGAGAGCUCUGCAGGCCACAAUCCUGUCUUCCCACUGGCAGCUGUUCAAUUCCACAGCAAGGAGGUUGAAAGAGGAUUCUCUUCACCACAGCAAAAGAAGCAACCCCGUCCAAAGCCAGGCACUGAGCUGCUGCCCAGCUAUCAGCAUCAUUGCCUGUCAGAUGGAAUUGGAAGAAGGGAAGAAGGAAGAAGGAAGAAGGAAGAAGAUGGAGCAGUUAGAACUGAUUUCCAGAUUGCCUCUAAGGAGGCCAUUCUAAGGGCUCUCUGUUUGGGAUGAUCGCACUCUAAAGUCUGCCCUAUAACUCCCUGAAACUCUAAACCAUGUUCUCACUUUAGAUGGGCUACACAGGUGACUUAGCUAGGGAUGAGAAGGGAUAAGUGCUCCUUAUAGCUUGAAUAAACAACUAUAACUAGGGAUUUCCAAAGGGCAUUCACACCCUUAUUUCUUCUCCAUCUCUUCUCCCAUCUUAAAUGCUUUGAGCAAUAUCCAAUAAACACUGUAAUAGUACAUAAUGUCUCUCAUAUAAUAGACACUCAAUAAAUGCUUCAUUGAUUUCAA